AGGAGCGAUCUUACUAGCACUAAUGCACCCGAUGCCAUCCGAACUCCGCUGUGAAGCGUGCUCGGGCGAAAGUAGUACUAGGAUGGGUGACCUCCUGGGAAGUCCCGUGUUGCACAUC
This 118-nucleotide ribosomal RNA is filed under the name Phaseolus vulgaris (common bean). Lineage: Eukaryota; Viridiplantae; Streptophyta; Magnoliopsida; Fabales; Fabaceae. The record is from RNAcentral.